This 79-nucleotide microRNA precursor is filed under the name Echinococcus granulosus. Its description in RNAcentral is "microRNA egr-mir-10234 precursor". The record is from miRBase by way of RNAcentral. Lineage: Eukaryota; Metazoa; Platyhelminthes; Cestoda; Cyclophyllidea; Taeniidae.
UUGACGGCGACAGACGAUAAUAGACAGGUCGACAAGUAAUGACUUCAGCUUGUCUAUUAGUCAUCUGUCUCAUUCUUUC